UACGGAGGGUGCAAGCGUUAUCCGGAUUCACUGGGUUUAAAGGGUGCGUAGGUGGAUAAGUAAGUCAGUGGUGAAAUCUCGGAGCUUAACUCCGAAACUGCCUUUGAUACUAUUUGUCUUGAAUAUUGUGGAGGUUUGCGGAAUAUGUCAUGUAGCGGUGAAAUGCUUAGAUAUGACAUGGAACACCUAUUGCGAAGGCAGCAGGCUACACAUAUAUUGACACUGAGGCACGAAAGCGUGGGGAUCAAACAGG
This 253-nucleotide ribosomal RNA is filed under the name uncultured bacterium. RNAcentral describes it as "partial 16S ribosomal RNA". It matches the Rfam family "Bacterial small subunit ribosomal RNA", at positions 524 to 776 of the family's 1533-position model. The record is from RNAcentral.